AUAGCGAGUGACAAGAAUAUCCACUUGUUGUUUUUCUUUGUUUAUUUAGACCACACUUACACACGGAAGAUUAUGUGCUUUUCAAAGUGUCAGUAAAUGCAUCUCGCGGCCGUCUCGUGAGAAUAAGGAAGUGCCAUUCCGAGGAGGACGAGAGGGCUGUUUUGUGAGUUGGAGAAACACAUAUGGUGUUGGAAUUCCACCGCUGUUGAUGUGUUCGGGUCAGAAUAAAGUUAAAAGAGCGUCAGACAUUAUUAGACUCUGUGGGGACCCCACGCUACGGUUCAGUCUACCGUCGUAACAGAGGCAUGGCUUGACACGAUGCGCAUGCGUUAUUUACGCUGAAAAUGUUAACGUAAUUAAUGAAACAAAUUAGUUACCGCAAUUAACACGAUAUUUUUUGAUACGCGUGAGUAUAUAUUUAUAUAAGAAUACUUAAUUCUCAACAGUUUUAUUUCAUAGCUGGCUAGCUUGCCCAUUAGGCAAUAUGCUAGUCAAUAUAUAUAUGCUAGUAUGCUAGGGGGCGCCCUGUGGUUAUAGCAGUACAUACUGUAAAUACGUGUAUGCAUAUAGCUUAUUAUUUAGCUUUGUGGUGUAUAAUCCUAAAAACACUCGCCAUCACUGUCCUAAUACUUCAAUGAAAUAUCAUAAAUGCUGUACAUAUCCAACAGUACCUUUCUUCGUCUUGACUGAACCCCUCCAUAAUGUUUCUCCAUGUCAACAGAGUCUGUAAUGUAAUGACUUCAUUAGCACAAAUAUGACUACAAGAAAAACUGUCCACUUACUUCUUCUGAAUAGGCUUCAUCCGUGUCACAGAUUAAAAAUCCAGCCACUCCCUCCCCCAACCAGAAGCGAAGUACAUGCUGUGGGAAUAUACGGUCAAUUUUAGGGCAUAAAUGUAGGCACAAGACAUUCUCAUCGAGUGGGCAUGUUUGACCUGCUUGACGUCAUCCUGAGGCUCAAAAAGCUGCACGCCACACACGUCCAGCACUACUUUGAGGCCUGCGAGAUGACAAGGUGCUGGAUUUGGGGCAGCGUUCCAGACCGUUGCCCGCUCCCGGUGGCGUUUACCGAGGAUGCAGACUGUUCAAACAAUCCCUUCAGGAUGAGAGUACUGAUGCCCAAAGACUUGAGAUGUAACUCUGCUGCUUAAAUGCCACCUACCCAAAACCACAGAUCCUGUGUGAAACACUGAUAGUUAUCAGGUAUUGCUGCAUAUCAUGCCUUAAGUCUCCACUUUGUCUUAAAAAAUCUCUCACGGAUGUCUUAAAUGAGUGUGCACUUUUGUUUUGACGGGUGUCACGCAACCCCUUCCUUUGUGAAGGGGACAUACAGACAGGUAUUCCCGCAGCAGCUCAGAUGAGAAAUGUUUCCACUGCGGUGAACGCAUUCACAGCACAUACAGCGUCUAUGUCUCUGACCUCAUUCUUACAGGAAGAAGGUAUAUAGGAGAAGAACACAAUAUGGGAAACAGCUCUUACUGCUGUUCAACACCACUGCAAACUACCACAAUGGUUAAUAUAACAACAAAUAAUAAACAUUUUAAAUUAGUCUUUAAGACGUUUACUGACAAAUACAGCACAAAAAAAUACAUUCUAUAUGAAUUAAAUGUCUCUUAUCAACCUUCGAAAAUGGUACAUACAGUACAUAGCUGUUUAGUUGUCAUACCACACUGUGACCACCAGGGGGCAAACAACAAACGAACGAACACAUACACCCAAAGAAGAAGUAAUUCAUCCACAAGCUAGCACUUAAAAAAAUAGUUGUUCGUGGCAAAUGUGGAGUUAAAUCAAAAUGUUUAAAAAAUUUUUAACUUUCUCACCGUCGAUAGCCCCUGACUCCACAGGUCGGGGCCCCGUUUGAAGUUGAAAAAACAGCGACUUCUGCCACCAGCCCAGCCGGGCAGGCACCGGCCGUGGGCUGGUCACGAUGAUGGCCACGGCGAUAGCUAGCAUCGCCAACCAGGCCAGCCAGAAGAGAACCACCAGGUAGCAGCGCACCCUCCUCCAGCCGGGUCCCCCAGCAGACAACUCCAGGUCCUCCUUGCUCAUGGGCCGCCACUGCUGUUCCGGUUCGAGGUCCGACACGAGCAGAGACGCCGUCUCUGAACCGGUUACGCUGGCCGAGAGUCCCGGGGCGGCAACGCUGCCGUAGCCGGUGCCUCCGGCGUUCAGGGGCAUGGUGGUGGGCUGCAGGUGAGAGGGACACACCCAGGUGCUUUAAUGAGGGCCCGUUCAACCGCUCUUAAUUGUCUUCAUUAUUAACGUCAACACAGAAUUCCAUGAAGGUACAUCACGUGUUUACACUUCAAUCCCACAUAACCGAAAAGGACAUUUUGUUCUUCUAACUUCUUUAAUGUGACAAAAUUUUGAAAAAUGUUACUCUACUGUAUAUGACAGGGGUUUUCAAACUCCGGCUGGUGUAGCAGCUCGAGAAAAAUAAAGAUCAACCAAUUGCAACAUGUAUUUAUGUACUCUAAUAUGUGACAAAGACUAUAAGGAUUCAAUGUAUACUUCAUUCAAUAAGAUAGCAUUUAUGUUUUCAUCACUUCAUUGGCUCAGACCUGAGAAAAAUCAAGGAAAAAUGCCAUUAGAAUUUUUGUAGGUCUGCCUUAAUAUCCUUAUGAGAGCCACCCAAUGCAUGUAAAUAGUCAUUCCGGAUGGAAGCAAAGUCAUAACAAGUAUAAGAUGAACUGUAUCGUAAAAUAUGCCGCAUCAUUGUACUCACAUUGUCUCCUCUG
Doryrhamphus excisus (bluestripe pipefish) is the source of this 2737-nucleotide non-coding RNA. The record is from RefSeq and is a predicted model, not a curated record. NCBI's taxonomy places the organism in Eukaryota, Metazoa, Chordata, Actinopteri, Syngnathiformes, Syngnathidae.